This 253-nucleotide ribosomal RNA is filed under the name uncultured bacterium. RNAcentral describes it as "partial 16S ribosomal RNA". It matches the Rfam family "Bacterial small subunit ribosomal RNA", at positions 524 to 776 of the family's 1533-position model. The record is from RNAcentral.
UACGAAGGGGGCUAGCGUUGCUCGGAAUGACUGGGCGUAAAGGGCGCGUAGGCGGAUGGCACAGUCAGAUGUGAAAUUCCCGGGCUUAACCUGGGGGCUGCAUUUGAUACGUGUGAUCUAGAGUGAGGAAGAGGGUCGUGGAAUUCCCAGUGUAGAGGUGAAAUUCGUAGAUAUUGGGAAGAACACCGGUGGCGAAGGCGGCGACCUGGUCCGUUGACUGACGCUGAGGCGCGAAGCGUGGGGAGCAAACAGG